Small nuclear RNA from Dendrobium catenatum, 163 nucleotides. RefSeq annotates it as U1 spliceosomal RNA. Lineage: Eukaryota; Viridiplantae; Streptophyta; Magnoliopsida; Asparagales; Orchidaceae. The record is from RefSeq and is a predicted model, not a curated record. The transcript has a single exon.
AUACUUACCUGGACGGGGUUGGCUAGCGAUCAUGAAGGCUGGCUGCCUAGGUUAGUGGCCUCCAUUGCACAUGUAGGAGGUGCGCUGCCCUAGCGUCUCCUCAACGAGGAGAUCGCACGUCAUAAUUUGUUGCUGGGGGAAUUCGCGUACGCGCGGUCCCCAC